RNAcentral lists this ribosomal RNA (425 nucleotides) under uncultured bacterium. RNAcentral describes it as "partial 16S ribosomal RNA". It matches the Rfam family "Bacterial small subunit ribosomal RNA", at positions 354 to 796 of the family's 1533-position model. The record is from RNAcentral.
GUGGGGAAUCUUGCGCAAUGGGCGAAAGCCUGACGCAGCCAUGCCGCGUGAAUGAUGAAGGUCUUAGGAUUGUAAAAUUCUUUCACCGGGGACGAUAAUGACGGUACCCGGAGAAGAAGCCCCGGCUAACUUCGUGCCAGCAGCCGCGGUAAUACGAAGGGGGCUAGCGUUGCUCGGAAUUACUGGGCGUAAAGGGCGCGUAGGCGGACAGUUUAGUCAGAGGUGAAAGCCAAGGGCUCAACCUUGGAAUUGCCUUUGAUAGUUGCUGUAUGGAGUACGGGAGAUGUGAUUGGAACUCCGAGUGUAGAGGUGAAAUUCGUAGAUAUUCGGAAGAACACCAGUGGCGAAGGCGACUCACUGACCCGUUACUGACGCUGGGGCGCGAGAGCGUGGGGAGCAAACAGAAUUAGAAACCCUGGUAGUCC